Molecule: long non-coding RNA, 201 nt
Organism: Mirounga angustirostris (Northern elephant seal)
Lineage: Eukaryota; Metazoa; Chordata; Mammalia; Carnivora; Phocidae
Exons: 3
Source: RefSeq, a predicted model, not a curated record
CUAAACCCAGACUUCUGUGGGAAAGAUACACCUCCCCACCAAAGCAGUUAUAUUCCCUGAAUGAGAACCUCUGGAACCAACGAGGCAUCCCACGGCACCCACCUGCCCCAGCUGAUGAACAUAAAGCAUUCAAUCCAUGCGAGAGCAUAAAAUGACAACCAUGCGCAUGCACUCAUGACCCUCAUUUGUUUACGUGGAAGG